This 584-nucleotide ribosomal RNA is filed under the name Colletotrichum viniferum. RNAcentral's name for it is "eukaryotic LSU rRNA". The stretch from base 210 to 363 matches the Rfam family "5.8S ribosomal RNA". Lineage: Eukaryota; Fungi; Ascomycota; Sordariomycetes; Glomerellales; Glomerellaceae. The record is from RNAcentral.
AGAUUCGUCUCGUUGGUGACCAGCGGAGGGAUCAUUACUGAGUUUACGCUCUACAACCCUUUGUGAACAUACCUACAACUGUUGCUUCGGCGGGUAGGGUCUCCGCGACCCUCCCGGCCUCCCGCCUCCGGGCGGGUCGGCGCCCGCCGGAGGAUAACCAAACUCUGAUUCAACGACGUUUCUUCUGAGUGGUACAAGCAAAUAAUCAAAACUUUUAACAACGGAUCUCUUGGUUCUGGCAUCGAUGAAGAACGCAGCGAAAUGCGAUAAGUAAUGUGAAUUGCAGAAUUCAGUGAAUCAUCGAAUCUUUGAACGCACAUUGCGCCCGCCAGCAUUCUGGCGGGCAUGCCUGUUCGAGCGUCAUUUCAACCCUCAAGCUCUGCUUGGUGUUGGGGCCCUACAGCCGAUGUAGGCCCUCAAAGGUAGUGGCGGACCCUCCCGGAGCCUCCUUUGCGUAGUAACUUUACGUCUCGCACUGGGAUCCGGAGGGACUCUUGCCGUAAAACCCCCCAAUUUUCCAAAGGUUGACCUCGGAUCAGGUAGGAAUACCCGCUGAACUUAAGCAUAUCAAAGGCCCGGAGGAA